RNAcentral lists this ribosomal RNA (314 nucleotides) under Tetraclita ehsani. Its description in RNAcentral is "partial 12S ribosomal RNA". Lineage: Eukaryota; Metazoa; Arthropoda; Thecostraca; Balanomorpha; Tetraclitidae. The record is from RNAcentral.
GAAAUUUAACGGAUUUGGCGGCAAGAUAGCCCCUUAGAGGAACCUGCCCAGUAAACGAUGAACCACGAAUGACACAACUUUUCUUUGAAAUCAGUUUGUAUAUCGCUGUUGUCAGUUAGAUUCUUGAGAAUAUUUUCAUUUAUGAUAAAGUCAUUGACUUCAAGUAAAGGUGCAGCUUAUAGAAAAGGUAGAGGUGGGUUACAUUUAUGUGAAUAAAACGGAUAAGAUAAGAGAAAUAGUCUUUGAAGGUGGAUUUAACUGUAAAGCUUAAAGAAGCUUGGUGAGAGCUCUAUCUUGUGUACACACCGCCCGUC